Centrocercus urophasianus (Greater sage-grouse) is the source of this 1710-nucleotide long non-coding RNA. RefSeq lists it as uncharacterized. NCBI's taxonomy places the organism in Eukaryota, Metazoa, Chordata, Aves, Galliformes, Phasianidae. The record is from RefSeq and is a predicted model, not a curated record. The transcript is spliced from 3 exons.
GCCUCUCCCACUGCUGCAGUCUUUAAAUGUUGGAGGAGAGAAGUGCACAUUACACUCCAGUGCUCGCCUUGAACGUUUGAAAAUAGUAUCCGCCCAGCAACAUGCACUCCAGGGCUCAGAUCUGCGAUGGAAUUGGGAUGCAGGCAGGAGGCAGGUUGGUGCUUUUGUGGCAGAACUGUGGCUCUUCGGUGUCACUGCCCUGCUCUGGACAGCAAUUGGCAGCAAUAAAUGCCAGCCUGCAUUUCUCAUUCUCCUCCUAGCAAAAGGAAACUGCUCCAGCGCGCAGUUAGGAAGAAGAAUGAAAGGAUCAGAGAAUUUCAGUUUGGAAAAUGAAAGAAGAGAACAAGACAGACUUUGCCCGUGGUUGAGAGGCCUGACUGCUCCAGAGGCAUGUUGUCCCUACAGCUCCUGAUCACCGGAGCCUCCCCAUUAUCUCCAUCGUCUCCGGUGUCAGGAGGAGCGACAGCCAUCAGCAGAUGCUGCGUGAUGUGAAGACAGGGCAGGGCUCUCAGAGAGGACAACUCCAUUAAGCCACUGCAGCAGGGCAGAGCACACCUCCCUCCUUGCUUUGCUGUGGGUAAUUCCUCUGUGGACACACAGAGUGCUUUUGGAACAAGUACUUAGGAUACUUGCACUAUCACAUGGGGCUGCCCCAGCACUUCAAGCCUUACAGCACGCACAGGUUACAACCUGAGAUAACGCAGGGACACUGUUUUUUGCUAAUCUGAAACUAGUUCUUGGAUCGCUCCCUAACUACCCUUUCUCCUUAUAGUCAUUCCAAAAAGAAAACAUCCCCGAUAAGACGUUAUUAAAAAUGCAUAGUGGCUUUAAAUGUAAAUAUCAGCUGGAAGCUCUGCCUUAGAUUCUGCAGCUGCAGUUCAAGUCAGUGUGCUUAGCCCCAUCUAUUCCUUAUCAUAACGAGGGCUAGCAAAAUACCACAGCCCGAACCAAGCAUAACUUGUCUUGCAACUUCUGAAAGAGUGAAGAUCAAUUUUCUCCCUGAGCAACAGCCUAAUUCAUCAGCAGAGUGGAGACUAAACUGUGGCAAGAACAAAUAGCAGAGAGGUACAGAAAGAGAGAAAGAGAAGGGGCUGAAAGGAACACAAAGACAAAGCAGUUUGCAAGCUAGCGAGGUGCCGCCUGGCCUGGAAGAGGUGGUUCUGUGCACAACCCCUGCGUGCCAUUUGCAGAGCAGUGAGCCCCAGAGUUACAGUGUGAGACCCAUCCUGCUCUAAGGCAUCAGCUGCCUCGCUGUAAGCACAUCCCUUGUUCUCAUGAGUCUGUUUGGAGCGUGCUGAAAUGUGGAGAGACAGGAAUUCUUUGUGAACUAACUGCAAAUGUCACAGCAGCAACAGCAAAAAAUAAAAUGAAAUAUAUAACAUGUUCAUUUCAAAAGCAGCAGUUUAAAACAAAAUCACACUAGAACAUUGCAUUUAGUGAAAUGGUGGUGGAAGCACCCGUUACCAGCAAAUCACAGUGCACGUGUCUGCAUGUCUGUCUGUCCAUGCAUGCACGUGCACACACAAGUGUGUAUGAGUCCCUCAUGGAAGUCUCCAAGGACUGGAUUAACCAAGAGUUUGCAUUGGGGUAAUGGAAAAUAUGACCUCAUUAGCACUAGGUUUGUCAUUUGCUCCAUAACACAAAAGUAAAUUACAAUGUAUUAAUGCAGUUAGUGUUGUUUUUAAUGUGCACUGGGAUACAAUAAAAGUU